GGCAAAUGCAAAGCUGUACAGAAACUGCAGGAAAAUGAACGAUGCUUUUUUCAUUCUAAAUGAGCUCUACCAUUUUCAUUCUUAGCUGCUUCAUUGCUGUGAAGCAAUAUCACUGAGGUGACAAGGAGGAAAGCGAGGCACAGUGGAUCAUGAUCUGUCUCCUGUAAUAAGGUGUCAGAUAUGGUUGCUUAAGCACAGGCUACCUCUACGUGGUCUACCUCUAGACUGCCCACUGAGUCGCCAAUGGUUGGACAACUAGAAUCACCUAGUGCCAGAUGGAGUGCCUGUCAGCUGGCUGCUUUUGAACGGAUGAAAUUACACCCUGGUGGUCCUGGGCUGCAGAAGGAAGUUCUUUAUCAACAACCCAUGUAAGCCUUGACUGCCAGUUUUCCGUGCCCACCAUUAAUGAUGAAACCAUUUUUGCUGUUAAUUAAUGACUUCCAUGAUCCGUAAUUCCACAGAUUUGUUGCUGGUGGCAGUUACGCUUCUGUCCUGAUGCUUUGUUAUUAUAGCAGAUGGUUUGUAGGAAACUGUCAUCUUGAAAGUCAAGGAGUGGGAGCUUAUCUAGCAUUGUAGAGGAUGGACGGAAUACAACCUUCAGCGUCCUCUGAAGCACAGCCCUACUGAGCCCAAAUUCCUAAAAAAUAGCCAACAUUGCAAAGAAAGAGAAAUGUUCUUCCUGCUGAAACCAAUGAGAAGCUUACGUACAGAGUAGGGGACCCAGGUCAUAUGUCAUAUAUUCUGUUACAGAUUUGGAAACGUGCUCCUUUUUCUUCACAGCAUUGAUGCUAAACAGACAUUUUCAUUUCUAAGUGCUUUCUUUCUUUCCUUUGUUACUCCAAGCUGCCAAAAUUAG
This 856-nucleotide long non-coding RNA is filed under the name Numida meleagris (helmeted guineafowl). Its description in RNAcentral is "lncRNA (ENSNMEG00000016712.1)". The record is from RNAcentral. Lineage: Eukaryota; Metazoa; Chordata; Aves; Galliformes; Numididae.